Molecule: non-coding RNA, 21 nt
Filed under: Caenorhabditis elegans
Lineage: Eukaryota; Metazoa; Nematoda; Chromadorea; Rhabditida; Rhabditidae
Source: RNAcentral
UUCUCCGUUCAUAUAGAAAGG